UGAGUAAUGUCUGGGAAACUGCCUGAUGGAGGGGGAUAACUACUGGAAACGGUAGCUAAUACCGCAUAACGUCGCAAGACCAAAGAGGGGGACCUUCGGGCCUCUUGCCAUCAGAUGUGCCCAGAUGGGAUUAGCUAGUAGGUGGGGUAAUGGCUCACCUAGGCGACGAUCCCUAGCUGGUCUGAGAGGAUGACCAGCCACACUGGAACUGAGACACGGUCCAGACUCCUACGGGAGGCAGCAGUGGGGAAUAUUGCACAAUGGGCGCAAGCCUGAUGCAGCCAUGCCGCGUGUGUGAAGAAGGCCUUCGGGUUGUAAAGCACUUUCAGCGAGGAGGAAGGUGGUGAACUUAAUACGUUCAUCAAUUGACGUUACUCGCAGGGGGGGGGCCGGCUAACUCCGUGCCAGCAGCCGCGGUAAUACGGAGGGUGCAAGCGUUAAUCGGAAUUACUGGGCGUAAAGCGCACGCAGGCGGUUUGUUAAGUCAGAUGUGAAAUCCCCGGG
This 504-nucleotide ribosomal RNA is filed under the name uncultured bacterium. Its description in RNAcentral is "bacterial SSU rRNA". It matches the Rfam family "Bacterial small subunit ribosomal RNA", at positions 107 to 607 of the family's 1533-position model. The record is from RNAcentral.